GACGAGCCGUCCAAGCGUUAUUCGGAAUCACUGGGCUUACAGAGUUCGUAGGCGGUCUGGAAAGUUGGGUGUGAAAUCCCUCGGCUCAACCGAGGAACUGCGCUUGAAACUACCAGACUCGAGGGAGAUAGAGGAAAGCGGAACUGAUGGUGGAGCGGUGAAAUGCGUUGAUAUCAUCAGGAACACCGGUGGCGAAGGCGGCUUUCUGGGUCUUACCUGACGCUGAGGAACGAAAGCCAGGGGAGCGAACGGG
This 253-nucleotide ribosomal RNA is filed under the name uncultured bacterium. Its description in RNAcentral is "partial 16S ribosomal RNA". It matches the Rfam family "Bacterial small subunit ribosomal RNA", at positions 524 to 776 of the family's 1533-position model. The record is from RNAcentral.